Molecule: non-coding RNA, 91 nt
Organism: Mycena albidolilacea
Lineage: Eukaryota; Fungi; Basidiomycota; Agaricomycetes; Agaricales; Mycenaceae
Source: the annotation of a GenBank genome assembly
GCAUUAAUGGGGUAGUGGUAACCUGGGUCGUUGCCAUCGGAAGGAGUUUAUCUGCUUCGACCCGCCGGGGGUUCGAUUCCCCCUUAAUGCA